Serinus canaria (Common canary) is the source of this 5638-nucleotide RNA transcript. It is a transcript of the gene named caspase recruitment domain family member 19, with no coding region annotated. The transcript is spliced from 5 exons. Lineage: Eukaryota; Metazoa; Chordata; Aves; Passeriformes; Fringillidae. The record is from RefSeq and is a predicted model, not a curated record.
GCGGGACGGGCAGGGUCCGGGGACCCUCGGCGGGUUGGUGAGCGCCGCCGCGCUCCCAGGCCCGGCCGGAGCCUCCGGGGCCGCAGCGCCGAUGUCGCGUUGCGGCGGCCCCGGCCGUUCGGUGCGCGGCCGCGGCCCGGCCGUGGGUCGGGGUGACCGCCCCGGGGCAUGGCCCAGCCCGGCCCUGCCCUGCCCGGGCGGCGCUGCUGGGCCUCGCACGGGCGGGCCGUGGGACGGCGGGCGGGGCUGGGCUGGGCUGGACGCGGGGCUCGAGGCAGCGGGCAAUGCGGAACCUCGGCCUGGUGUGUCCGGUGUAGCCGGGCAGGGCCACGUUUCACACCCUGGCACACUGGCCGCAUGUUGUGUGGCAGGAAAAUCUGCUGUUUACUCCCAGCCUCCAUCCAGCUCGCUGGGAUUGUGGCUCUGCACACAGAUCAGUCAUAUUGUCAUCGGCUGCAGCAUGACAUGUAUUUCCUUACAAGCACUAGCCGACUGAAUGAGCAAGUGGUUGAUAAAAUUGUUCUUCAACUCAACAGAGUCUAUCCCCAAAUUCUUACCAAUGAAGAAGCAGAAAAGUUCAGGAACCCAAAGGCAUCACUCCAUACCAGGCUCUCAGAUCUGCUAAAACACCUCCAAAAGAAAGGAGACAGACACUGUCAGGAGUUUUACAGGGCUCUGCAGAUCAAUGCUGAACAGCUGUUUAAUGACCUGCCAAGCAGGAAAAUCUUGAAAGUAAUUUGUAUCUACCCAGCACAAACUGGUGGAGGACCAUUUUCUUGCCUGCAUGGGGAGGCUGCAGAGUUACCCCACAUUCAUACCUGAACCCUUUUGAACUGGGGAAAUCUGGGCCCAUUCUGCCUCAGAAUCUCAGAUGAGCCCCAGUCCCAACUGACUGAGCCUCGAGCAGCUGGAAGGCAAUGCUUUGAUCUGAUGUUCACCUUGUAGAAGUUGUGCACUUUGGAGAAGAGUCUCUUCAAGCAAAUUGUCUUGGAUCUGUCAUUUUUACUUUGAUAGAGGUCAAGAAACAAGUUUUUCUGCCAGCCUGACUAGCAGUUAGCAGACAGCCUUUAUGAAUUGAGAGUGGUUUGAGAAAUCUUGAUGUAGUCACUAAGAAGAAAAAUUUCAAGACUGUUUUCAUGUUUAAGAGUUGAAGCUUUUUUAAUGUUCAAUAACACAUUCUACAAGCCAUUUUUGAAAAUAUAUCUUUACAAGGAGACUUGGGUAGGGUCUGUGGGAUGUUUUCACUUUUAUCUAGAGCAGAAACGUGCUCAUCCUUACUCGUGAUUUAUGUGGUGACUCCGAGCUCUCCUCAGGUAGCCAUGAGUAGGCUCUGCAUAGCAAAUAGAAGUGCUUCACGUUAAACAUACAGCUCCUUGUGGCACACAAAAACAGUUUUGCUGCUGCUGCAAACUGCUGACUUCAGUAACCAUGAAAAGUCAUAAAAUUCUCUGUUAUUUGGGUACGCUCUUUUAUAUUACCAUCCUCAGAAGGGUAAGGAUAAUUUAAAGAACGGAGUUAAAACAUUACUGUGUGCUGAGGUUCGGUAGUUUCUUUCUGUUGACCUAAGAAAGAAAUAUUGAGAUGAUUGUCUUAAUAUGCUUGCUGUAUCUUAGAGUUCUGUAAUUAAAACAAAUGUCUGCAUUCUGGAUUGAAUGGUCAAGAAACAUCUGUGCAGCUUUUUAAGCUAAAACUGCAAACACCCUUUAUGCUUCAGGAAAAGCUCCUUUUGUCAAUAUGAGGAGUAACUUUUCAUUUAAGUGAACUUGGACAUUUUCAGUAUUAAAGGCAUUAUCCUUCAGGCCUCCAACAUGCACAAUUUGUUACUCAAAUGUUACUUCUUGGAAGUGCUCAAGGCCAAAAUCUAUAGGGUCCUGAGCACUCUGGUCAGUGGAAGGUGUCCCUGCCCAAGGCAGGAGGUUGGAACUGGGUGGUUUUCAGGGUCCCUUCCAACACAAACCAUGCUAUCAUUCUAUAAUGCUCUUAGCAGUAGUUGUUAAGUUUAUCACCAAGCAUUUACAGAACUGCCACUAGAAUUUGUAAAUAUGAAGAACAGUGAGAAUCACUAACAUGGGGCUUUUCUAAAUGCAGGCUGAGCUGAAACAAGCAGCAUUACAAACAGCUGGAGAAAUUAUCAGUGAGGACAUGGAUGAACCAUGGAUGGUUCAUGGAUGAACUCUGUAGUUCUGUAAUCGAUUACAUGCAGCUAUACAGACGACAGAUUUUUUUCAGCAGAGGAAAUCCUUUCAAAUGUUUUAUUUUCAUUUUUAAGACCGCUUUAAAAUUCAUGCUAGAACAAAAUUUCUUUGCCUGAAGCGUAAAUUGCCAAUGAAGUGUCUGGUAAUGUCUGAACAUUCCCACUAGAGGGGAGGUAAGGCACACGGUAUGGCAGCCUCAGAGCUGUUGAAGCAAAUUUGAGUUUCCAAGGGACUCAGAAAAUGUUUUUAUUUCUCUCCAUGCUGACAUAGACUUAAAGGAUAAAGGCUUGGAUCAGCCCCACACAGUGAUAGAAGUGGCAGAGAUUUGUCUGUGCUCUUCUGUGCAAUGUGAGGAUUUCCUAGCUGGAAUUUCUAGGAACAACAUCAGCUCCUCAAAGGGGCAGGCUGGGUGAGUGUGCUAGGGGCACACUGAGCUCAUGGAAGCUUUGCAGCAAUCCUUGCUGCUCCGGUGACUCUCAGGCUUCAUAGCAAAGGGCACCAGAUGCUUCUGUCCUGCUCUGUGCCCCCACAGAGAGGGAUAUCCUUAGCAGGAGAGAUGGAUGUUCCCCUGUUGCUGCCUGAGUGGACUGGGCAGUUUUCGAGGCACCUCUCUUACGUUCUGGUGUCAUGUGAAAGAAGGAGAGGAGUUAAAAUGAUCAGUCUUAAAUUCUUCCCUAUUGACAGCCAGAUUCAGAACUCUUAGUCUUUUUACUUUCCUUUUUUAACCUUCCUAGACCUUUGACAGUUGGACUUGGUGAUCAUAGAGGUCUUUUCCAACCUUUAUGAUUCUGUGUUUGCAAGACUACAGAAAGGUUUGGCUAACACAGUGUUGCAGAUCAGUGACAUGUUAUGGAAGGUCACUCCUCUGCCAUGUCUGGUGGCAGCUGUGCAUCUCCCUUCUGCAGACAGCAUGAUCUCCACAUCUGUGUGGCAAAGGCAGCUCUGAAAAGGUGUUUCUGGAAACUACUGAACACCUUGUCCUAUGGCCAGCCUCCUUUUCUACUAGAAUUUGCAGAAAGACAGAGGCUGAAAUUACUUGUGCCAGAUGUUAGCAUGGAGAACCUACAGAGUUUUAAAGAAGCUGGGCAUGCCUUCAGCUGAGACCUGCAUUUAGUAAAUAAUCUACACCAAGAAGUUUUUUCUACGUGCUUUACCUGCUAAAUACAUUAAUGCCCGGAGAUUUGCUCAAGAACAAAGAAUGGUGAUACAUUAAAUUAUAAAAAUGUUUUGAGAUUAGUGCAUCUGUUAACAAAGAGUUUCUGUGUAUUACAAUGAAAACUGCUGGUAUUGUGAAGGGUUAUCUCCUGCUUUCCUAACUUAGGAAAAAUGUGUAAUGUUAUUUAUGUGGUCAGUGCUUAAGCUGGUCAGAGGUGGGGCUGCAGCUAUUUGUAGUUGCAUUCAGAUUACUCUAUCCCUUUGUCUUUUGGUCAGUCCAACUUUAGCAAUGGUUUACCAUUGGAGGGGUUAAUACUUUAUGUCAAUAUUGGAUAUUUUUCUGAAAUUUGGUGUUUUGCACCAUUUUGCAUGUGCUGAUUAUGUUUGUUUGUUUGCUUGAGCUGAGUACUAACUUUUCAUGUGUUGCUUUUAUUUCUAGAAACCCCAGAUCCCACAGAGAUAGACACUGACAAGGAGCAAUAUAUGCUAAAUGACAGGGGUAAAUAAAUCAUACAGUGUCACUGGAUGGAAUGGCUUUGCAGAUUAUGAUGCAAUUUAUUAUAUCAUGUAAUUUGCACUGCAUACAGCAAUUACUUUGGCUUAUGAUGUCUUUACUGUCACAAGUGAAGUAGAAUUAAUGGAGGAAAAUGUACUGAGUUACUGUCGAGGAAACCAGUGCCAGGAAAUUGAAGAGACUGUAGAGUUUAAUCAGUAUUUACAAUGGUAUUACUUACACUAUUGCAGCUAAGCUCUUCAUUUCCUGUGAUUUCUUCAGUGCCUGAACAGUAAGGUCUAUUCAUUUUGCAUAAAGCCAUCAAUAACUUUUUGAUCUGGCUUUCAAUUUUUUUCAACUUUUUUUAAGUUCUCAAUUUAACUACAAGUCAUUUGAAAGCAAUGACAGAAAGGAAGGAAAAGUGUAAAUAUAUUUUCCUUAGGAAAUCAUAUUAGUUUCACCUUCCUCUGUUCAAUGCCAGAUUACAGGGACAAAUAUUUUUUUCAUGGUAGGAUAUUCUGAAAAGGAAGAUCUCAAAUAAAGAUGAAGAGCUCUCACCAUUUAUAAUGAACUAUUGUAUCAUUUAAGUUCAGUAUUUUAUUUAGAGACUUACAUACAAUAAUGAGAGAUUCAAAACACUUUCUGUGAAUUAUGCCUUUUUGCAGUUUCCUGAGAGAAAACUGAAAUAAGUAGCAGAAACACUGUUUAACUCAAUGUACAUUUUUAUCUGUGGUGGUGGUGUUUCUGUGAAUAUUGAACCAAAUUGCUGUUCAGAGUUUACACAUUGCUGUUGCUGUCUGCAGCAUAACAGUACAGGAUGAACAGAGAAAGUGCUUGGAAAUGAGAAAAUGUAGUAUUUUAUUUUUUUUCUACUUACUACUUUUUUUUUUUCUGACCUGGCCUCAGACUAGAGAUUGUUUGGCCACUAGCCACCCUCCUUGGGAGGUUACAUGCCAAAGAGCAACCAAGUCCGUGCUCCUUUGCUGUUUCUCUAAUGUCCUUCUCCACACUGUCAGCUCCAAGAAUUUGUUGAGGCAGUACACUUGUCCUUAAAUUGAUAGGUGUUGCUUAAUUGUAUCUACAAGUAGAUGUGUAGUUUAAUUAUAUCUCUGUUUCUAGUGAGAUAGUAACUACAAAUAGAGUAUUAUGUGAUAAAGAAGCAGAUGGAAAUCUUAAUGCUGUUUUGUCAGUGGAUAAGUAUGAAUUAGAAAGGUUUUAUUGAACAUCAGUACUGACCAUCACCAUUAAACUGUGUGUAAUUCCAGGCAGGCAGCUUCCGGGUGAUUUGGUUUGGAAACUUUUCCUUAAAUACCAUAGUCUGUAGCUGGUAGAUGAGCAGAGGGGAACAGGGAAUGGUGGCAAAGCAACUGUAGUAAAAAUUAUUUGCACUCCAAUAAAUGUGCUUCACAGUACAUUAGCUACAGAACAUACAGAAUUGUGAAUAUGAUAGCUUCAUUUGAACAUGCUUAAUUAUGCAUAUUGAUAACAAUUGGUGAUUUGUGAACUGAGCUAAACUUCUGCUGCCCUGCUCUGUCUCAGUGUGUUUUCUUGCCAUUUUCUGUAGGCCCAGUGUUUUUCCUGGCAUGUUUCAGCAUGGCUGCAGGACUGGCCCUUUUCUGGUACUGCUGUAACUCAGAAACGCAAGUCAUAGGAAGAGCCAGGAGAAUCUUGGGUUUUUCUCCUAUUAUCAUAGGAAGACAUGUUAGAAAUAUUUGUAUGUUGUAUUUGGAAGACGUGUCAAGAAAUUAAGGAAAAGCUGUCUCUUUGCUUGUCUGUACAGUACACCAAAGGAAGC